RNAcentral lists this ribosomal RNA (460 nucleotides) under uncultured bacterium. RNAcentral's name for it is "partial 16S ribosomal RNA". It matches the Rfam family "Bacterial small subunit ribosomal RNA", at positions 338 to 795 of the family's 1533-position model. The record is from RNAcentral.
CCUACGGGUGGCAGCAGUGAGGAAUAUUGGUCAAUGGACGAGAGUCUGAACCAGCCAAGUAGCGUGAAGGAUGACUGUCCUAUGGGUUGUAAACCUCUUUUAUAUGGGAAUAAAAUGUUCCACGUGUGGGAUUUUGUAUGUACCUUAUGAAUAAGGAUCGGCUAACUCCGUGCCAGCAGCCGCGGUAAUACGGAGGAUCCGAGCGUUAUCCGGAUUUAUUGGGUUUAAAGGGUGCGUAGGUGGAGUGUUAAGUCAGUUGUGAAAGUUUGUGGCUCAACCGUAGAAUUGCAGUUGAAACUGGGGGUCUUGAGUACGUUAGAGGUAGGCGGAAUGCGUGGUGUAGCGGUGAAAUGCUUAGAUAUCACGAAGAACUCCGAUUGCGAAGGCAGCUUACUGGGCUACAACUGACGCUGAUGCACGAAAGUGUGGGGAUCAAACAGGAUUAGAUACCCGAGUAGUC